GGGAUAGCCUUUCGAAAGAAAGAUUAAUAUCCGAUAGCAUAUAUUUCCCGCAUGGGUUUUAUAUUAAAGAAAUUCGGUAUGAGAUGGGGAUGCGUUCCAUUAGUUUGUUGGGGGGGUAACGGCCCACCAAGACUACGAUGGAUAGGGGUUCUGAGAGGAAGGUCCCCCACAUUGGAACUGAGACACGGUCCAAACUCCUACGGGAGGCAGCAGUGAGGAAUAUUGGUCAAUGGACGCGAGUCUGAACCAGCCAAGUAGCGUGAAGGAUGACUGCCCUAUGGGUUGUAAACUUCUUUUAUAUGGGAAUAAAGUUGUCCACGUGUGGAUUUUUGUAUGUACCAUAUGAAUAAGGAUCGGCUAACUCCGUGCCAGCAGCCGCGGUAAUACGGAGGAUCCGAGCGUUAUCCGGAUUUAUUGGGUUUAAAGGGAGCGUAGGCGGAUUGUUAAGUCAGUUGUGAAAGUUUGCGGCUCAACCGUAAAAUUGCAGUUGAUACUGGCAGUCUUGAGUGCAGUAGAGGUGGGCGGAAUUCGUGGUGUAGCGGUGAAAUGCUUAGAUAUCACGAAGAACUCCGAUUGCGAAGGCAGCUCACUGGAGUGUAACUGACGCUGAUGCUCGAAAGUGUGGGUAUCAAACAGGAUUAGAUACCCUGGUAGUCCACACAGUAAACGAAGAGUACUCGCUGUUUGCGAUAUACAGUAAGCGGCCAAG
RNAcentral lists this ribosomal RNA (709 nucleotides) under uncultured bacterium. RNAcentral's name for it is "bacterial SSU rRNA". It matches the Rfam family "Bacterial small subunit ribosomal RNA", at positions 140 to 851 of the family's 1533-position model. The record is from RNAcentral.